Molecule: non-coding RNA, 533 nt
Filed under: Erinaceus europaeus (western European hedgehog)
Lineage: Eukaryota; Metazoa; Chordata; Mammalia; Eulipotyphla; Erinaceidae
Description: Eukaryotic small subunit ribosomal RNA
Rfam family: Eukaryotic small subunit ribosomal RNA
Source: Rfam by way of RNAcentral
UUCUGUUUUUAAUGACAGAUUGAUAGCUCUUUCUCAAUUCCGUGGGCGGUGGUGCAUGGCCGUUCUUAGUUGGUGGAGUAAUUUGUCUGGUUAAUUCCGAUAACGAAUGAGACUCUGGCAUGCUAAAUAGUUAUGCGACCCCCAAGCGGUCGGCAUCACCUGCUAUGGAAUAUACAUGGAGCUACCCACCAGGGGCAAAGAAAGAUGGCCAAGCUUUUGCAGGAAGCCAGCCUGAGAAUCCACAAGAGCCAGCUGAUUGAGGAUAUGGUUGCAGGGUGCAAGGCCUGCAGAUUUAUGGAUGCUAGCGGCCAUCCUGGAACUCCUGGGGUGCGUGAGAGGGGAACCAGACAACACACCUACUAGGAGAUAGACUUUGCUGUGGUAGAACUGGGAAAAUAUGUGUAUAAAUAUAUAAUGGUGUUUGUAGAUACCUUUUCAGGAUGGACUGGGGCAUUCCCGACCAAGAGGGAGAUGGCCCAGACAGUGGUGAGAAAACUACUCAAGGAGGUUUUUCCCAGGUUUGUAAUGCCCAU